AGUGAACGCUGGCGGUAGGCCUAACACAUGCAAGUCGAACGGCAGCACAGUAAGAGCUUGCUCUUACGGGUGGCGAGUGGCGGACGGGUGAGGAAUACAUCGGAAUCUACUUUUUCGUGGGGGAUAACGUAGGGAAACUUACGCUAAUACCGCAUACGACCUACGGGUGAAAGCAGGGGAUCUUCGGACCUUGCGCGAUUGAAUGAGCCGAUGUCGGAUUAGCUAGUUGGCGGGGUAAAGGCCCACCAAGGCGACGAUCCGUAGCUGGUCUGAGAGGAUGAGCAGCCACACUGGAACUGAGACACGGUCCAGACUCCUACGGGAGGCAGCAGUGGGGAAUAUUGGACAAUGGGCGCAAGCCUGAUCCAGCCAUGCCGCGUGGGUGAAGAAGGCCUUCGGGUUGUAAAGCCCUUUUGUUGGGAAAGAAAAGCAGCAGGUUAAGACCCCGCUGUUCUGACGGUACCCAAAGAAUAAGCACCGGCUAACUUCGUG
This 492-nucleotide ribosomal RNA is filed under the name uncultured bacterium. RNAcentral's name for it is "partial 16S ribosomal RNA". It matches the Rfam family "Bacterial small subunit ribosomal RNA", at positions 29 to 507 of the family's 1533-position model. The record is from RNAcentral.